UUGUUUGAUGUAGAAUGGCUGGGGCGUUUAGCCUAAUGAUGUAAAGGUCAUAUCCAACAAGCCUUCAAAAUAAAACCUAUUGACUAUGUCAGACUGUCGGUUUGGACAAUGGUCCAAAAAUACUUAAGGCUACUGUAACAAAUAAAGAACUUAAGGAUGGGAAAGGGGUGGGGCUGCCUCUCUGGCAAACAAAUCAGUGAACGCAUGAACUCCAUGACUGACAGUUAAUUUCAUAACAAAACAAUGCUCCGUGUCAUUUGAGACAAGGUGCAACUAGGGAGGGAGGGAACCAGCUGUCAACAAUGAUUAUUGUUAGCUUAUUUUUUCGGUGUUUUUUUUUGUAAGGGACAUUUCGUGAGUCUCUAGCCUGACAGUCCUACUCCCUCUUCUUCCUCCUCCUCUUCUUCCUCCACGGUGUUUCCAGAACCAACGCUGUUCCGAGUUCGUGACCAUUCUAACGAGAAUCCUUACCCACCGCGAGCACACAAAUAAAGAAAACCUAGGACGUGCGCGUGCCUUCCGUCGUUUUUCUUCAUGAGACUUCACACCGGUGAACACAGUUGACUGCUCGCCCUCCUGCAGGCUCUAAGCACGAGGGAAUCACAGGCAUCGGUCCGUCAAAUGCAUACAUGGAAACAACAAUUACCGGCUGAAGAAAAACACAGUCACGCACAGACACCUGCGUGAGAAUAGAAGGCGCGGCGCCUGAUCCUUACAGCUUGUCGGGUUCGUUCAACGGAAAACUGGAUAUUUCUGUGUCUUUUUGGGGAGGGGGUAAGCGACAGUAGAUACAUGAGAGGAAGGGUAGCAGUCUGAAUAGCACGGAGGGUGUCUCGGAGAUGUCAUAAACAGGUUCUACCAGAACCACGACAACAGCAGGAGAGUCAUUGUGUUGGAUUUGGAUAAAAAGGAAGAGAAAAAAAAAAACUAUUAUUAUAUCAUCUUUAUCUCUCGGAAUUAUACCACUACGAGGUGACGUCCAUUGUUUAUGGGAAGCCAUUGACAACAAUCAUUUUGCAAUGAUAUGUUUUCCCUCCAGUAGGUCUGGUUGGUGAUUGAUUUCCAUGACAGGUUGGAGAACCAUUGGAGCAUCUGGUAUCAUCAGCGGGCAUAUGUGCUAAAUUAGGUCUCUACGUGUAUUAUUUGAGGGUCUGUAGCCUGUAAUAGCAGCAGCAGAUUUCUUUUGUGCAUUGUUCUAUUUCCUAUAGCAUCCUACUCUCUCCCCCCCUCCCCUGGUAAUCCCGGGUGUGCAUGUGUUGCACUUGCGAGCGUUCUCCCCUCCUUCCCUCCUGUUGAGGCGUGCGGUACUCAUAGAGUUGUGGUUGUGAUGCCGGGAACUUACUGGAGACAUGCCUAAGGGACGCAAUGGGCUUGAGCGACGAGAAGGAUCGCAUUGUGAUAAACGUGGGAGGUAUCAAACAUCAGACAUAUCGCGGUACCCUGCGUACCCUGCCCGGCACCCGUUUAUCCUGGCUCGCCGAACCCGACGCGCCUAGCCACUUCGACUGGGAUGACAAACAUGAGGAAUUCUUUUUCGACCGCCACCCGGGUGUUUUCGCCCAUAUCCUUAAUUAUUACCGGACAGGUAAACUGCACUGCCCUGCCGAUGUCUGCGGACCCCUGUAUGAGGAGGAACUGGCCUUCUGGGGCAUCGACGAGACGGACGUGGAGCCGUGCUGUUGGAUGACCUAUAGCCAGCAUCGGGAGGCGGAAGAGGCACUUGAUAGUUUCGGCGGGGGGGCCCUGCUCGACUUGACUGGUAACGAUGAUCCAGACCCGGAGAUUGCAGCCGACCAGGGGGACGGGGUUGGUGAUGAGGCUGAUGAGAUGACAAGGAGGCUGGCACAGGGGGAUUCUCCAGAUGCCAAGGCAGGGGGGGUUUGGGGCCGCUGGCAGAAACGCAUGUGGGCUCUGUUUGAAGACCCUUACUCCUCUAAAUACGCAAGGUGGAUAGCCCUGGCCUCUCUGUUCUUCAUCCUCGUGUCCAUCUCCACCUUCUGUCUGGAGACCCACGAGUUCUUCAACCCCAUCGUGAACCGCACCGAGCUGGAGCUGGUGGACAACGUGACGGUGGAGCAUGUGUACCAGGAAACGGAGACGGUGGUCUAUCUCACCUACAUCGAGGGCGUCUGCGUGGUCUGGUUUACCUUUGAGUUCAUGAUGCGAGUCAUAUUCUGUCCGGACAAGAUGGAGUUCAUGAAGAAAGCUCUCAACGUCAUCGACUUCGUGGCUAUCUUACCGUUCUACCUGGAGGUCGGGCUGAGCGGACUGUCGUCUAAAGCGGCCAAGGAUGUUCUGGGGUUCCUGAGGGUGGUGAGGUUUGUCAGGAUCCUGCGUAUCUUCAAGCUGACCCGUCACUUUGUGGGCUUGAGGGUUCUGGGUCACACGUUACGGGCUAGCACUAAUGAGUUCCUCCUCCUCAUCAUCUUCCUCGCCCUCGGAGUUCUCAUCUUCGCCACGAUGAUCUACUACGCCGAACGGAUGGGAGCGGACCCGACCGACCCGCGCGCCAGCGAUCACACGCACUUCAAGAACAUCCCCAUCGGAUUCUGGUGGGCCGUUGUUACCAUGACGACCCUUGGCUACGGCGACAUGUACCCCCAGACGUGGUCGGGUAUGCUUGUCGGAGCGCUGUGCGCCCUGUCGGGUGUACUGACCAUCGCCAUGCCCGUCCCCGUAAUCGUCAACAACUUUGGAAUGUAUUACUCCCUGGCCAUGGCUAAACAGAAGCUACCAAAGAAGAAGAACAAGCAUAUCCCGCGAGCACCCCAACCAGGAUCACCCAACUACUGUAAGUCCAGCAUCAACUCUCCUCCAACGCCCCAUAAAGCACCGCUCCUUCCUGAAAGCCCGAACUUAGUCCACCCUGUUUUGGCUCUGGCUCAAAACAUGGCUCUGACACACGACGACGUCUUUGAAGUAAAGUUUUCAGAUUCCAAGCUGAAUGGGGAAGCGGCCAACGCAGCUCUAGCCAAUGAGGACUGUCCUCAUAUAGACCAGGCCAUCUCGCCAGAGGAGAUCUUCAGCCCCAGCGAGAGAGAACGGCCUUGUUGUCUUGUCACCACAGCUGCAGAACGACCCAACCACACAGGGGGUAGAGUCAGGAGGGGUACGUACACCUACAGUAACAGCCAAACACAGCCCAACCACACAGGGGGAAGAGGGAGGAGAGUUACGUACUGUAACAGCCAAACACAGGCCACUAUCAAACGUGUUGCAUUCCCUACGACUUGAUUAUUGACAACCACAUACACAAGGUCAACCCGUGGCCCAACACACACAGAUGCAGGUUUACCUUUAUUGUCACAAGUCUUGUCCUGGAGCCAGAACUGAGCGAUUUCCACUUAGAUAGGCCAGCUGCAAAGUUAAAACUGGCUAUAUUGUAAAAAUGUAUGAAAGUAAAAAUGUAUGAAAAUAAAAAUGUGCUUUUUGGUUAAAAAAAAGUUCAGCUUCAUUCAUCUCCAGCACCAUCCCAACAUCAACUAAUGCGAAAAUGGCACAUUUCUAAGUUUUGUAGUAAAUAAUAGUGUUUCCAAUGACAUCACAACCAAUUAGUAGGCAAUGCCUCCUCAUAAUUGGUUAAAAUAGCAUGAUGCGCACAGAUGAAUGUCAUUGGAAAUGACACCUUCCUUUAUCUUUUUGACUACAAAACAUAGAAACAUGACAUUUUGACAUAUGCUGGACAUAAUGAAUAUGAAGUAAUAUGUUCCCCUUUAAGGUUCUGCAUUAGGCUUAAAACCUGAUUUCAUGACUUUGUGGCUGUACUAGCUAGCUGCUUCCAGAACAACAUUCAUGACGAAAACCGCUAACAGAGCUGCUUCCAGAACAACAUUCAUGACGAAAACCGCUAACCUGACACACAGACAGACGCACAUGCAUGUGUACACACACACACACACACGCAUGUGCACGUGCAACACACAAACACACACAUAGGGCUUGGCAAUAUAUUGUGAAUACUGGUAUACCUGUAUGGAUCCACAUACCGGUAUGGAUUUUUUACAAUACCGUCUAUAACGAUAUUUUUGAUAAAUUGCUAAUUUGAAUGAAAAGUGUCAGCUUUGUUCUAGUUUGGUUGAGUAGAAAACCACCAGCAUGUAAAAGACAUUACAAAUACUUAGAACUAAUGUGUUAUCAUAUAAGGCACAUGCACUAUUCAUAAAACAUAUUGCAAACUUGUAUUAUUCUGGAACAUAAAAUACCACAAUACUGCCCAAAAUGAGAAAAAUAUUGGGAUAUUAUGUGUUGGUGAUAUUGCCUAGCCCUACACCCAUAUCCACAUCCUCACCCACCAACACACAGGGUUCCCUGAUCACAGUAAUACAACAAUCGAAUACAAUGUGAAACAAAACAACAAUCGAAUACAAUGUGAAACAAAACAACAAUCGAAUACAAUGUGAAACAAAACAACAAUCAAAAUACAGAACAAGACAAAAUGUAAGAAAAGCAGUUACAUUCCUCAACCACGAGGUCCUCAGAUCCUAGGUCCUCAGCCACGAGGUCCUCAGAUCCUAGGUCCUCAGCCACGAGGUCCUCAGAUCCUAGGUCCUCAGCCACGAGGUCCUCAGAUCCUAGGUCCUCAGCCACGAGGUCCUCAGAUCCUAGGUCCUCAGCCACGAGGUCCUCAGCCACGAGGUCCUCAGAUCCUAGGUCCUCAGCCACGAGGUCCUCAGAUCCUAGGUCCUCAGCCACGAGGUCCUCAGCCACGAGGUCCUCAGAUCCUAGGUCCUCAGCCACGAGGUCCUCAGCCACGAGGUCCUCAGAUCCUAGGUCCUCAGCCACGAGGUCCUCAGCCACGAGGUCCUCAGAUCCUAGGUCCUCAGCCACGAGGUCCUCAGAUCCUAGGUCCUCAGCCACGAGAUCCUCAGAUCCUAGGUCCUCAGCCACGAGGUCCUCAGCCACGAGGUCCUCAGAUCCUAGGUCCUCAGCCACGAGGUCCUCAGAUCCUAGGUCCUCAGCCACGAGGUCCUCAGAUCCUAGGUCCUCAGCCACGAGGUCCUUAGCCACGAGGUCCUCAGAUCCCAGGUCCUCAGCCACGAGGUCCUCAGAUCCUAGGUCCUCAGCCACGAGGUCCUCAGCCACGAGGUCCUCAGAUCCUAGGUCCUCAGCCACGAGGUCCUCAGAUCCUAGGUCCUCAGCCACGAGGUCCUCAGAUCCUAGGUCCUCAGCCACGAGGUCC
This is a non-coding RNA of Salmo salar (Atlantic salmon), 5179 nucleotides long. The record is from RefSeq and is a predicted model, not a curated record. Lineage: Eukaryota; Metazoa; Chordata; Actinopteri; Salmoniformes; Salmonidae.